Caerostris darwini is the source of this 108-nucleotide non-coding RNA. The record is from the annotation of a GenBank genome assembly. NCBI's taxonomy places the organism in Eukaryota, Metazoa, Arthropoda, Arachnida, Araneae, Araneidae.
AACGGCCGUACCAUGCUGAAUAUACCGGUUCUCGUUAGAUCACCGAAGUCAAGCAUCAUUGGGCGCGGUCAGUACUUGGGUGGGUGACCACCUGGGAACACUGCGUGC